UACGUAGGGAGCAAGCGUUGUCCGGAAUCAUUGGGCGUAAAGAGCGCGUAGGCGGUCCGGUAAGUCGGUUGUGAAAACUGGGGGCUCAACCCUCAGAGGCCGACCGAUACUGCCGGGCUAGAGUCCGGAAGAGGCGAGUGGAAUUCCUGGUGUAGCGGUGAAAUGCGCAGAUAUCAGGAGGAACACCAAUGGCGAAGGCAGCUCGCUGGGACGGUACUGACGCUGAGACGCGAAAGCGUGGGGAGCGAACAGG
This 253-nucleotide ribosomal RNA is filed under the name uncultured bacterium. Its description in RNAcentral is "partial 16S ribosomal RNA". It matches the Rfam family "Bacterial small subunit ribosomal RNA", at positions 524 to 776 of the family's 1533-position model. The record is from RNAcentral.